GCCGACGUAGCUCAGUGGCAGAGCAACUGUUUCGUAAACAGUAGGUCGUGAGUUCGAUUCUCACCGUCGGCUCCA
RNAcentral lists this transfer RNA (75 nucleotides) under Candidatus Curtissbacteria bacterium. Its description in RNAcentral is "tRNA-Thr". It matches the Rfam family "tRNA". Rfam says of the family: Transfer RNA (tRNA) molecules are approximately 80 nucleotides in length. Their secondary structure includes four short double-helical elements and three loops (D, anti-codon, and T loops). Lineage: Bacteria; Candidatus Curtissiibacteriota. The record is from RNAcentral.